This 253-nucleotide ribosomal RNA is filed under the name uncultured bacterium. RNAcentral describes it as "partial 16S ribosomal RNA". It matches the Rfam family "Bacterial small subunit ribosomal RNA", at positions 524 to 776 of the family's 1533-position model. The record is from RNAcentral.
UACGGAGGAUCCAAGCGUUAUCCGGAAUCAUUGGGUUUAAAGGGUCCGUAGGUGGAUAAUUAAGUCAGGGGUGAAAGUCUGCAGCUCAACUGUAGAAUUGCCUUUGUUACUGGUUAUCUUGAAUUAUUGUGAAGUGGUUAGAAUAUGUAGUGUAGCGGUGAAAUGCAUAGAUAUUACAUAGAAUACCAAUUGCGAAGGCAGAUCACUAACAAUCAAUUGACACUGAUGGACGAAAGCGUGGGUAGCGAACAGG